RNAcentral lists this ribosomal RNA (696 nucleotides) under Triticum aestivum (bread wheat). Its description in RNAcentral is "partial small subunit ribosomal RNA". The record is from RNAcentral. Lineage: Eukaryota; Viridiplantae; Streptophyta; Magnoliopsida; Poales; Poaceae.
AUGUGGGAGGAAUGCUUGCCUCAUAUUGAAUUUGCUUAUAAUCGUUCAUUGCAUUCUACUACUAAGAUGUGCCCUUUUGAAGUUGUGUAUGGUUUCCUACCUCGUUCACCUAUUGAUUUGUUGCCUCUUCCAUCUUCGGAGAAGGUUAAUUUUGAUGCUAAACAACGUGCUGAAUUGAUUUUAAAAAUGCAUGAGUUAACUAAGGAAAACAUUGAGCGCAUGAAUGCUAAAUAUAAACUUGCUGGAGAUAAGGGUAGAAAACAUGUUGUGUUUGCACCUGGAGAUCUUGUUUGGUUACAUUUGCGUAAGGAUAGAUUUCCUGAUUUGCGCAAAUCAAAGUUAAUGCCACGUGCUGAUGGUCCCUUUAAGGUGUUAGAGAAAAUAAGUGAUAAUGCAUAUAAACUUGAGCUGCCUGCAGAUUUUGGGGUUAGUCCCACUUUUAACAUUGCAGAUUUGAAGCCUUAUUUGGGUGAGGAAGAUGAACUUCCGUCGAGGACGACUUCAUUUCAAGAAGGGGAGGAUGAUGAGGACAUCAAUACAAUUGUUACACCCACAGCCCCUGCUGCUAUACAUACUGGACCAAUUACUAGAGCUCGUGCACGCCAACUAAACUACCAGGAAACAGACCCUCGUGGUCAGGUUGAUCGUGCUCCGGCGUGGUCAAUAACCUCUCGGAGUUGGUUUAGCGAUUGCUAA